GAUGAACGCUGGCGGCGUGCUUAACACAUGCAAGUCGAACGGGAAUUAUUUUAUUGAUCCUUCGGUCGAUUUAAUUUAAUUCUAGUGGCGGACGGGUGAGUAACGCGUGGGAACCUGGCUUAUAACGGGGGGAAACAGGCAAGAAUGGCUGCUAAUACCGCCUAAGGGCACAGGGGUGCAUGGCUCCGUGUGGAAAAAUCCGGUGGGAUAAUAUGGAACCCCGUUGGGUUAGGUGGUUGGUGGGGUAACGGCCCACCAAGGCGACGACCCAUAGCCGGCCUGAGAGGGUGAACGGCCACAUUGGGACUGAGACACGGCCCAGACUCCUACGGGAGGCAGCAGUGGGGAAUAUUGCACAAUGGGGGAAACCCUGAUGCAGCGACGCCGCGUGAAGGAAGAAGUAUCUCGGUAUGUAAACUUCUAUCAGCAGGGAAGAUAGUGACGGUACCUGACUAAGAAGCCCCGGCUAACUACGUG
Molecule: ribosomal RNA, 477 nt
Filed under: uncultured bacterium
Lineage: Bacteria
Description: partial 16S ribosomal RNA
Rfam family: Bacterial small subunit ribosomal RNA
Source: RNAcentral